RNAcentral lists this ribosomal RNA (111 nucleotides) under Carlito syrichta (Philippine tarsier). Lineage: Eukaryota; Metazoa; Chordata; Mammalia; Primates; Tarsiidae. The record is from RNAcentral.
AUUUAUGGCCAUAUUGCUCUGAAUGCACCCAAUCUAGUUUGAUCUAAGCAGGGUUGGGCCUGGCUAUUACUUGGAUGGGAGACCACCUGGAAAUACUAGCUGCUGUAGGCU